RNAcentral lists this ribosomal RNA (1459 nucleotides) under Duganella sp. SG902. RNAcentral describes it as "partial 23S ribosomal RNA". It matches the Rfam family "Bacterial large subunit ribosomal RNA", at positions 698 to 2162 of the family's 2925-position model. Lineage: Bacteria; Pseudomonadati; Pseudomonadota; Betaproteobacteria; Burkholderiales; Oxalobacteraceae. The record is from RNAcentral.
AGUCGCUGGGUGUAGACCCGAAACCAAGUGAUCUACUCAUGGCCAGGAUGAAGGUGCGGUAACACGCACUGGAGGUCCGAACCCACUAAUGUUGAAAAAUUAGGGGAUGAGCUGUGGGUAGGGGUGAAAGGCUAAACAAACUUGGAAAUAGCUGGUUCUCUCCGAAAACUAUUUAGGUAGUGCCUCAAGUAUCACCACCGGGGGUAGAGCACUGUUAUGGCUAGGGGGUCAUCGCGACUUACCAAACCAUUGCAAACUCCGAAUACCGGUGAGUGCGAGCUUGGGAGACAGACGUCGGGUGCUAACGUCCGGCGUCAAGAGGGAAACAACCCAGACCGCCAGCUAAGGUCCCAAAGAUUGGCUAAGUGGAAAACGAAGUGGGAAGGCUAAAACAGUCAGGAUGUUGGCUUAGAAGCAGCCAUCAUUUAAAGAAAGCGUAAUAGCUCACUGAUCGAGUCGUCCUGCGCGGAAGAUGUAACGGGGCUAAGCCAGUCACCGAAGCUGCGGAUAUGCGUAAGCAUAUGGUAGGAGAGCGUUCUGUAAGCCUGCGAAGGUGUCUUGUAAAGGAUGCUGGAGGUAUCAGAAGUGCGAAUGCUGACAUGAGUAGCGAUAAUGGGGGUGAAAAGCCCCCACGCCGUAAGCCCAAGGUUUCCUGUUCAACGUUCAUCGGAGCAGGGUGAGUCGGCCCCUAAGGCGAGGCAGAGAUGCGUAGCUGAUGGGAAGCAGGUUAAUAUUCCUGCACCGUCGUAUGAUGCGAUGGGGGGACGGAUCGCGGAAGGUUGUCUGACUGUUGGAAUAGUCAGUUUCUGUUUCAUAGAAGGUGCUUAGGCAAAUCCGGGCACGUGAUUCAAGGGAACGGGACGAAGAACUUUUAGUUCUGUAGCAAUCGGAAGUGGUUCCAAGAAAAGCCUCUAAGCUUCAGUCAUACGAGACCGUACCGCAAACCGACACAGGUGGGCGAGAUGAGUAUUCUAAGGCGCUUGAGAGAACUCGGGAGAAGGAACUCGGCAAAUUGGUACCGUAACUUCGGGAAAAGGUACGCCUCGGUAGCUUGGUCACUUUACUGUGAUAGGGCGAAAAGGUUGCAAUAAACUGGUGGCUGCGACUGUUUAAUAAAAACACAGCACUCUGCAAACACGAAAGUGGACGUAUAGGGUGUGACGCCUGCCCGGUGCUGGAAGAUUAAAUGAUGGGGUGCAAGCUCUUGAUUGAAGUCCCAGUAAACGGCGGCCGUAACUAUAACGGUCCUAAGGUAGCGAAAUUCCUUGUCGGGUAAGUUCCGACCUGCACGAAUGGCGUAACGAUGGCCACACUGUCUCCUCCCGAGACUCAGCGAAGUUGAAGUGUUUGUGAUGAUGCAAUCUACCCGCGGCUAGACGGAAAGACCCCAUGAACCUUUACUGUAGCUUUGCAUUGGACUUUGAAUCAAUCUGUGUAGGAUAGGUGGGAGGCUUUGAAG